RNAcentral lists this ribosomal RNA (498 nucleotides) under uncultured bacterium. RNAcentral's name for it is "partial 16S ribosomal RNA". It matches the Rfam family "Bacterial small subunit ribosomal RNA", at positions 28 to 507 of the family's 1533-position model. The record is from RNAcentral.
GACGAACGCUGGCGGCGUGCCUAAUACAUGCAAGUCGAGCGGACGAAUCGAAAGCUUGCUUUUGAUUCGUUAGCGGCGGACGGGUGAGUAACACGUGGGCAACCUGCCCUGUAGACGGGGAUAACACCGAGAAAUCGGUGCUAAUACCGGAUAACACGAAAUGUCGCAUGACGUUUCGUUGAAAGACGGCGCAAGCUGUCGCUACAGGAUGGGCCCGCGGCGCAUUAGCUAGUUGGUGAGGUAACGGCUCACCAAGGCGACGAUGCGUAGCCGACCUGAGAGGGUGAUCGGCCACACUGGGACUGAGACACGGCCCAGACUCCUACGGGAGGCAGCAGUAGGGAAUCUUCCGCAAUGGACGAAAGUCUGACGGAGCAACGCCGCGUGAGCGAAGAAGGCCUUCGGGUCGUAAAGCUCUGUUGUUAGGGAAGAACAAGUAACGCAGUAACUGGCGUUACCGUGACGGUACCUAACGAGAAAGCUACGGCUAACUACGUG